RNAcentral lists this ribosomal RNA (252 nucleotides) under uncultured bacterium. RNAcentral's name for it is "partial 16S ribosomal RNA". It matches the Rfam family "Bacterial small subunit ribosomal RNA", at positions 524 to 776 of the family's 1533-position model. The record is from RNAcentral.
UACGGAGGAUGCGAGCGUUGUCCGGAUUUAUUGGGUUUAAAGGGUGCGUAGGCGGACUGUCAAGUCAGCGGUAAAAUUGAGAGGCUCAACCUCUUCCCGCCGUUGAAACUGGUGGUCUUGAGUGGAUGAGAAGUACGCGGAAUGCGUGGUGUAGCGGUGAAAUGCACAGAUAUCACGCAGAACUCCGAUUGCGAAGGCAGCGUACCGGCAUCCAACUGACGCUGAGGCACGAAAGCGUGGGGAUCAAACAGG